UUAGCCUCCCCAGUAGCUGGGACUACAGGCAUGUGCCACCAUGCCCUGCUAAUUUUUGUAUUUUUUGUAGAGACAGGGUCUCGCCACGUUGCCCAGGCUGGUUGGGAACUCCUGGGCUCAAGCGAUCCACUUGCUUUGACCUCCCAAAGUGCUGGGAGUACAGAUGUGAGCCACCGCACCCAGCAUGUAUUUUAAAUGUUUUAUAAUGAACACAUAUUACUUUUAAAAUCAGGAUAAGACAAAACUAAAAAACCUUGUUUAUGUAUAAAAGGCAUAGCUGAGAACGUGAACGUGAUGCAGGUAACUCACUCCGACCUCAUUUGUUGCAGGCCCAGGUGUUUUCAGCCACACCUUUGACAAGGUGAACACUAAAGCAGGGCUGACUCCAGCUGCAUGAGCCUGGUGACCAACUCCUUUCUCUGACAGUCACUUCUUGGAUGGAGUUGCUGCCAAUGGCUUUGGCCACGGGGACCCAGACCGUCAAGAGGCCUGCUGCAACCCUGAAGAGUCCUCCCACAGUCUGGCUCCAGGACCACAACAUUGGCACACUCCUUUCUACCUGGCUUUGUUUUCUGUGUGUGUUUUGUAGGUAGCCUGGUAGACUCGUCUGGUCAUAUCCUGGUCCCUGGAAUCUAUGAUGAAGUGGUUCGUCUUACAGAAGAGGAAAUAAAUACAUACAAAGCCAUCCAUCUAGACCUAGAAGAAUACCGGAAUAGCAGCCAGAUUGAGAAAUUUCUGUUCGAUACUAAGGUAUGGCCACAGACUGAUGGAUAAGCUGAAAGAGGCAUGAGGCUAGUAUAUCAUAUUUGCCCUCUGUCUAAGUCAUUGUCUGGUGCUAAUCUCCGUAUCUUAGAAUCCAAAGCAGAUGUGAAUUCCCAGGCAUAUUUUUGACAUUCACAGCCACUUCCCCGUGGCCUGGAUCAACCAGUCCUUUUUCAAUGGGGUCUAAUUGGCACUGGCUUCUGGCACUUAACCACAAGCAGUUACCCAUUUCCCAGCCAUGUUUUCCAAAGCUGUUCAUUAACCUAAAUCCCACGUCAGCCUUCAGCCAGUGAGCUGGACUUCUUACCUUUUCAAAGACCAAGAAAAGUCUGAGAUGAUUCCAGCUCCAAGACCUCUAACUGUUCAUUUUUCCAGACAAAACCAAGAGCCUUAGGGGCUAAUCUGUAAGUGAAUACAUCAUUGCCUCAGUGGACUAAGUAAAUACAAAGCUGAAAACAUUCCUUAUAGGCAAAUUUAGAAUUGUUUUGUUUUUCUCCUCUUCCUCUUUCUGGGCAGCAUGCUUGCCUGACAAGGUGUUUGGUAGCUAGGGCUGGUUCCUGGGGAAGGGGCUGAGAGGGGGAAAAGCCAGCUGAAAAGAAGUGGUAGAGUGAAUUAUUAUGAAGCAGGCAUCUUCUUGCAGACCAGCUCCAGGAUGGCCAGAAGAAGGAAAACUGGCUUAAACAUCUGAAGAGUUAUUUGAUGUCUGCUGAAUAAGAAAAUGCUUUCAUUACAUAAGUUAUUGUAAUUUGGGGUUAGAAAUUUAUAAUUGAACCCACAUUUCUGAAAGGGCUCCUUUAUCUAUGGCCAUACCACAUUGAACGUGCCCGAUCUCGUUUGAAAGGGCCCCUUUGCCAUUUGUUAACUGAAAACUGCAGAUCUUGGGCAAAGAGGGGCACUCAUCAAUGGGGAGCAUUGGUAGUGAUGGGUAGUGAAGGCAUCUGAGGACAGCAGAGAGUUUGUGUCCUGAGGAAAAAGUCCUUGCGUGAGGCACAGCUGAGUAAGGUGACACUUAACGUGUCCUGAAUGGUGUCUCAGAGAGGCAGAGGGUGGUAACACAAGCAACCCAGGUCCACUGGGUUCUAAUUAAGCAUCCUUUGGAUAAUUUUAUUUUAAUAUAGGAGGAGAUUCUAAUGCACCUCUGGAGGUACCCAUCUCUUUCUAUUCAUGGGAUCGAGGGCGCGUUUGAUGAGCCUGGAGCUAAAACAGUCAUACCUGGCCGAGUUAUAGGAAAAUUUUCAAUCCGUCUAGUCCCUCACAUGAAUGUGUCUGUGGUGGAAAAACAGGUGACACGGCAUCUUGAAGAUGUGUUCUCCAAAAGAAAUAGUUCCAACAAGAUGGUUGUUUCCAUGGCUCUAGGCCUACACCCGUGGAUUGCAAAUAUUAACGACACCCAGUAUCUCGCAGCAAAAAGAGCGAUCAGAACAGUGUUUGGAACAGAACCAGAUAUGAUCCGGGAUGGAUCCACCAUUCCAAUUGCCAAAAUGUUCCAGGAGAUCGUCCACAAGAGCGUGGUGCUAAUUCCGCUGGGAGCUGUUGAUGAUGGAGAACACUCGCAGAAUGAGAAAAUCAACAGGUCAGCUGAUGCCUGUGCAAUGUGCCUCUCUCUUCUUCCUUUACUGCACACACCCGGGUCUACACGUGGGUGAGCUCCUGUUCAAUUUAUGCGAGAAUGGAAAAUCGUCCAGACUGGGGGCUUAAAGAGCAGACAUUCAUUCCUCACAGUUCUGGAGCCUGGAUGCCCUAGAUCAGGUGCCAGGCCAUUUGGAUCCUGCUGGGUAUGGGCUGUCUUCCUGGCCGUCCCUGUGAUGGCGGGGUUAGGUGGUUCUGGUGUCUCUCUUUUUAUAAGAGCACCAGACCCAUUGGAUUAGGACCCCCAUUUUAACCUCAUUUAACCUUUAUUAUCUCCUCCAGGCCCUGUCUCCAAAUACGGACACACUGGGGGGUUAGGGGUUCAACAUAGGACUUUGAGGAAACACAAAUGUUUAGUGCAUAACAAAAAAGGCUAUUAGGAAUGUUUGCUUUAUGCGCUACUGGCAGAUACUACAAGAUCUCCUAAGCAUCCCAGACUAGUGAGAAACAAGAAAUUGUUUGACCCUGAUAUCCAUAUCAGUGAUAAGAAAUCAAGGAAAAUUGACUUUUGGAUUUGAGUCUAGGACUGAUUCUCAUCUUCUUAAUAAUAAUAAUGCAAUUUUCACAUGGAGCUUACUAAGUGCUUUUCAUACUGGAAUCUCAGAAGUAUGCCAAAUAAUUUAAAUGGAAUUUAUAACAUCAAAUCUUCCUGUCUAAAUGACAGAAUAUUUUUCCUCCUUCAUUUGAAUGGAAAUUGUAACAAAAUUUCUCUUUGUUUUUCCUCUUCUUAGGUGGAACUACAUAGAGGGAACCAAAUUAUUUGCUGCCUUUUUCUUAGAGAUGGCCCAGCUCCAUUAAUCACAAGAACCUUCUAGUCUGAUCUGAUCCACUGACAGAUUCACCUCCCCCACAUCCCUAGACAGGGAUGGAAUCUAAAUAUCCAGAGAAUUUGGGUCUAGUAUAGUACAUUUUCCCUUCCAUUUAAAAUGUCUUGGGAUAUCUGGAUCAAUAAUAAAAUAUUUCAAAGGCACAGAUGUUGGAAAUGGUUUAAGGUCCCCCACUGCACACCUUCCUCAAGUCAUAGCUACUUGCAGCAACUUGAUUUCCCCAAGUCCUGUGCAAUAGCCCCAGGAUUGGAUUCCUUCUAACCUUUUAGCAUGUCUCCAACCUUGCAAUUUGAUUGGCAUAAUCACUCCGGUUUGCUUUCUAGGUCCUCAAGUGCUCGUGACACAUAAUCAUUCCAUCCAAUGAUCGCCUUUGCUUUACCACUCUUUCCUUUUAUCUUAUUAAUAAAAAUGUUGGUCUCC
Molecule: small RNA, 3638 nt
Filed under: Pan troglodytes (chimpanzee)
Lineage: Eukaryota; Metazoa; Chordata; Mammalia; Primates; Hominidae
Description: retained intron
Source: RNAcentral